RNAcentral lists this ribosomal RNA (496 nucleotides) under uncultured bacterium. Its description in RNAcentral is "partial 16S ribosomal RNA". It matches the Rfam family "Bacterial small subunit ribosomal RNA", at positions 29 to 507 of the family's 1533-position model. The record is from RNAcentral.
AUGAACGCUGGCGGCGUGCCUAAUACAUGCAAGUCGAGCGUACAGACGAGGAGCUUGCUCCUCUGACGUUAGCGGCGGACGGGUGAGUAACACGUGGAUAACCUACCUAUAAGACUGGGAUAACUUCGGGAAACCGGAGCUAAUACCGGAUAAUAUAUUGAACCGCAUGGUUCAAUAGUGAAAGACGGUUUUGCUGUCACUUAUAGAUGGAUCCGCGCCGCAUUAGCUAGUUGGUAAGGUAACGGCUUACCAAGGCAACGAUGCGUAGCCGACCUGAGAGGGUGAUCGGCCACACUGGAACUGAGACACGGUCCAGACUCCUACGGGAGGCAGCAGUAGGGAAUCUUCCGCAAUGGGCGAAAGCCUGACGGAGCAACGCCGCGUGAGUGAUGAAGGUCUUCGGAUCGUAAAACUCUGUUAUUAGGGAAGAACAAAUGUGUAAGUAACUAUGCACGUCUUGACGGUACCUAAUCAGAAAGCCACGGCUAACUACGUG